This 68-nucleotide transfer RNA is filed under the name Marmota marmota marmota (Alpine marmot). It matches the Rfam family "tRNA". Rfam says of the family: Transfer RNA (tRNA) molecules are approximately 80 nucleotides in length. Their secondary structure includes four short double-helical elements and three loops (D, anti-codon, and T loops). The record is from Rfam by way of RNAcentral. Lineage: Eukaryota; Metazoa; Chordata; Mammalia; Rodentia; Sciuridae. RNAcentral also lists the same sequence under 1 other name.
GUUGUGGCUCAGUGGCAGAGCACUUGCCUAGCAUGUAUAAGGCCCUGGGUUUGAUUCUCAGCACAACA